UUCCGUCGUUCUUGCCUUAAAGAUAGGAUCCACAGUCUGCAGCGGAGUCCGGCAGCCUGAGGCAUGGGAUCAGGGGAAUGAUGUAAGAUGACAUGAUUUAUUGCUUUGUUAAGCAAUAGUUUCAGCCAUGUAUCAUGCUUUCAAGCUUAAAUGAUUGCCAAAGUAACAGGCGGGCUAAGGGGAUUUGAACACACAGAGAGUAUCUCUGGUGAAGGGAGAGUGAGCAUGGCUGAUAUUUCUGUUGGGAAGGUGGGAGGGAUCUUCCUAGUGCAGAGGUCCUGGAGUGAGUACUCCUUCCAGAAGAACCUGGAAAACUGGGAGAUGAGGAUUUUCUCUGGGUUUCGCUCUCCUGACGACUAAAUUAUAACUUAAUGCUCAUAUAAAAGAAGACAAGCAACAUACAAGUGAAUGAUGAAUCCUUGUGAACUCAGUUCCCAGCAUAAGACCUUUCCCAGCAUCUUCACAACAGCCACGGGCCCCUUCCCGUCAACCCGCUACCUUCACCGCUGAAGAAGCCGUGAUCUGGAAUGUGUCUGUGGUCGCCUUCCUUAAAAACAAAACAAAAUAUGUUUAUUAUUUAUAUCAGCAUCCCUAAAUAACAUGCCGCUUAUUUUUGCUUCUUUUUUUCUUUUAUUUUUUUUCCGAGUUUUAAAAAGUUGUAUUGUACUGUAUGGGGUUUUCUGUGAUUUGUUUUCUUCUUCACUUAAAUAUAUUUCUAAGAUUGAUCCUU
This is a long non-coding RNA of Pteropus alecto (black flying fox), 730 nucleotides long. RefSeq lists it as uncharacterized. The transcript is spliced from 3 exons. The record is from RefSeq and is a predicted model, not a curated record. NCBI's taxonomy places the organism in Eukaryota, Metazoa, Chordata, Mammalia, Chiroptera, Pteropodidae.